GCCGAUGUCCACGUAGCGGUUUUGAACUUGCGUGCACGCAGCGUCAACGCAAUUGCGGUAGGAAGUACCCAACAUCAAAUAGAAUCAUGCACACGCACUUGCGUUAACGCGGCGUCGACACGCGUCUCAUUUGCGGCGAGAGUUACCGCAAAGUCACCGCAAUUCCCCACAGGAACGCUGCGUGCACGCGAGUAUUUUUUGACAUUUCUCUAUUCUUUUUCUUUCCAACAAGAUUUUCUAAUGGGAAAAUCUGUGAUGUGAAAGAAUGUGUCAGAGCGAAAUCAAAACAAACAAAAAUACUUCGCAAAUCAGUUCAUUUUGGUUUCGCAAAUUAAUUUGCAAAUUGCAACACUUUUCAAAUCUAGCUUCUUUAAAUAAUAGCAAUUGUAAUAGUUCGGAGCGGUGUUUCUUUCGUUCCUGUGUUAGUACCAGUCGCUGUCAAAACACCUUUGGAAAGAACUGACAAGCAACCAUCCCAGGCUGGUGGAUAGAGUCAAAGUCAAAGGAAACGGUGAUGUGGCAGUUUUGGGAUGAAUAACGGACCAGGCAAAAUUCAACCAACGAAGUUCCAACCAACAUUCCGCGGGACCCUGUAUACAUCAAGGAAGGCGAUACCAGUUCCGCCAUGGGAUGAAUUAUUAAAUAUAGGAAUGUGAACGGAAGGAAAUCGUCAAAUAAUGUGGAUUGCAAUUGCAAGAAGAAACGAGAUCAGAUAAAGAGAUGGCGAGCUACAGUACUAAUGCGUUUCUUCUAGUGUUGUGGGCAACGCUACUGCGAUCGGUCCGUGUUGCAGUGAAGUGAAAAUUGCAAUGAUAAUAACGACGUUUGGCAUUUAGAUAGCACUUCUUUGGAAGAACAACGACAAACGUAGCAACACGCCAGCAAUCGCUUGUGAUGCUUUCGGAGGAGGAUUUUGAGCACCUUAUUUGUAGGAGUGACUGCAGUAUCUGACCAAAAUGUUUAAUGACUUUUUAUUCGUGAGCAAAUGAUUACCGAUAAAUGGAACUAAUAAAAAUCGUACACCAAAUGCAACAGAUGCUCAAUUCAAGACAAGAACAAUUGAAUGCCUGAAUCCACUAUUAUUCAAGAUUAAUCUCCUCCUAUGAAGUAAUAAAUUUAAGUUGGAAAUAAAGAAUGAGCAACAUUAUGAAAUUGUAAUAAUAUUCAUUUAUUAUGAUUGUAGAAAACAUAUUGGGAUUAAGCAAAGCGAGGCCAAAUUUCUGUCUCUCUGUAUUGAAAACGUUUUUAUUCAAACAAUCGAAUUGUGCGGCACGAUUUCAAUUUCACAGAUCUACAAUUAAUUUCGAAAGUUCAAACUUUU
Armigeres subalbatus is the source of this 1321-nucleotide long non-coding RNA. RefSeq lists it as uncharacterized. The record is from RefSeq and is a predicted model, not a curated record. The transcript is spliced from 3 exons. NCBI's taxonomy places the organism in Eukaryota, Metazoa, Arthropoda, Insecta, Diptera, Culicidae.